This is a long non-coding RNA of Cyprinus carpio carpio, 535 nucleotides long. The record is from Ensembl. NCBI's taxonomy places the organism in Eukaryota, Metazoa, Chordata, Actinopteri, Cypriniformes, Cyprinidae.
GCAGUUCGACACAUUUUCAUUUGGUGGCGCUGUGGCUCCUGUGUGGCCGCACUGAUUGAAAGACUGGAAAUGGAGAGAAACGCAAAACUCAAUCCACUGGCAUCAGAUCCGGUGUAUGUCUAGCUGUGCAUCAUGGAAAGAAAUAUGUCAAAACUUGAGGCAUCAGCCAAGUACAGGCAUGAAAAUGACUGGAAACACAAGCAAACAAACAAGCAAAGGACAAAGGACCAAAUUCAGAGAAGCAGGACACUGCUGAACAGCUGAUCUGCCGUUAGCUGCGUAAAUCUCUCUCACGGUGAGCAGCUCCCAGAGCCCAGCUGAAUUAAUCACAGCCACACGGACACACGGGGGGCAGCCUGAGGAGGAGGACCGAGAGGAGGCUAGAGGAGAAACCAUGCUGUGAGAAAAGAGGCAGAGAAGAGACUGGAGAUAAUGAAGGUGCCCUCGCUUGGACCUAAUAUACUCCUUGUAUCAGUGGAACUUAAGGAUAAUGCUUUCCCUGGUGUGCUGAAAGAAGAUAUAAAGAUACUGGAGC